This 666-nucleotide long non-coding RNA is filed under the name Panax ginseng (ginseng). RNAcentral describes it as "long non-coding RNA (PGIN_LNC012974)". Lineage: Eukaryota; Viridiplantae; Streptophyta; Magnoliopsida; Apiales; Araliaceae. The record is from RNAcentral.
GAUGGCGUUAAGAAAUCCUAAUUAGAAAACCCUAAUUUUUCAAUCAAAACCCUAAUUUAAAAUUAUUGGGUUUAAUUACGAUGUUAAUGUAUAAGUGUUGUAAUUUACCAAAUGAUAGAAAUUAAUUGGUAAAUGAUAAGAAUUACCAUCUAGUGAUUAAAUACUACAUUUAAUUGCCUUGUACAAAAAUGCCCAUGAAAUUUUAUGUGAAAUUACCAAAAUACCCUUUAGUGUAUUAUUAGUUAUAUUAUGGAAUUUUAAAAUCUAAAGUGAUAAACCCUAAUGGUUAUGGCCAAUGUCUAAAAUGCCCUUCAUGGUAGACAUGAGAAGUCUAAACUACCAUUGUGCAUUAUUAAAGGAAGAAACCAAUUAUUAGAGUGAAAAUGACUAUUUUACCCUUUUUGUCCAUUUAGUGUAUUAUUAGUGAAUUAUUGUGCAUUAUUAGUUGCAUUGAUGGUAGAAUCUUACAAGUGACCAGCCAACCACCUUACCCUACUGAUUUAACAUUUAUAGAACACAUUUCUCAACUAUUACAAACACAUGGCAUCAAUUCAUGGUGUAUUUAAGGAGACUUAUACACUAAAAUUAUGCACAAACACCUAGCUUUACUCUCUCAAGCUCUUACCAACGAAAUUAUCUUGCCCAUAAGCUCCUAAUCAAANNNNN